Molecule: ribosomal RNA, 789 nt
Filed under: uncultured bacterium
Lineage: Bacteria
Description: bacterial SSU rRNA
Rfam family: Bacterial small subunit ribosomal RNA
Source: RNAcentral
AGAGUUUGAUCAUGGCUCAGGAUGAACGCUAGCGGCAGGCCUAAUACAUGCAAGUCGAGGGGCAGCAACACUUCGGUGGUUGGCGACCGGCGGACGGGUGCGUAACGCGUAUGGAACUUGUCCGGAUCACAGGGAUAGCCCCCGGAAACGGGGAUUAAUAUCUGAUGGCGCGUUUUGGUGGCAUCGCCGAAACGCUAAAGCUCAGGCGGAUCCGGGUGGCCAUGCGUUCGAUUAGCUAGUUGGCGGGGUAACGGCCCACCAAGGCGACGAUCGAUAGGGGUCCUGAGAGGGAGGUCCCCCACACUGGUACUGAGACACGGGCCAGACUCCUACGGGAGGCAGCAGUAGGGAAUAUUGGGCAAUGGGCGCAAGCCUGACCCAGCCAUGCCGCGUGCAGGAGGAAGGCCCUCUGGGUUGUAAACUGCUUUUGGGAGGGGACAAAAUACCGGUGCGCCGGGGAUUGAGUGUACCUCCAGAAUAAGCACCGGCUAACUCCGUGCCAGCAGCCGCGGUAAUACGGAGGGUGCAAGCGUUGUCCGGAUUUAUUGGGUUUAAAGGGUGCGUAGGCGGCCCCAUAAGUCUGCGGUGAAGCCCACGGGCUCAACCCGUGGCGUGCCGACGAUACUGUGGGGCUUGGGUCGUCUCUGGGCGGGCGGAAUGGAAAGGUGUAGCGGUGAAAUGCAUAGAUAUCUACCAGAACGCCGAUAGCGAAGGCAGCUCGCUGGGGACGUACCGACGCUGAGGCACGAUAGCGUGGGGAUCAAACAGGAUUAGAUACCCUGGUAGUCC